AUAUAACUAACCAAGGAAGGUGUGCCUAAGAAAACUCAAAGCUUAGAGCACAUGUUUGAAGCUAUCUUUCUGUAUUUUCUAUGAAAAUGCCUGUGUUCUCCUUGCUACUGCUUGGAUAAAUGCAUCUAUUUGACCUUUGUAACAUUUUGUAAGUAAAGCAUUUUAAACUUACUUAACAGUGGGAGGUCAGAUCAUUGCAAGAGAGGUAGAAAGAGGAGUACUGUUUGCAAGUGGACUAAAUGGGAUAAAGGGUUCCAACAACUUAUAUUCCUAACACUAUACUGCUGCUUGACUUUUUUGAGUUUACACUGUGUUACUGGUGGCUCUCUCCUGCUGGAGAGUGAGCUUAGCCCCAUAGUUUGAACCCAGGUACCCAGCCAAUUCUUUUGUUUUUUUACCCCACAUGUGUGGGUCACAGGGAUUAUAUUUUUUCCUCCUAAAAUUAGCCUCAUCAGAAGUGGCUUGUUGGGUUGGGGAAAGCCAUUAUUCUAGCUUCCUGGCAGGUGGGUCACUGUUGAAUACUGGGAAGCAGAGGGGUGAGGUAGUGUGCAGGUUAGCAUGCUGAAACAUCAGUGCUUCUGUCAGAGCAUUUGCACCAUGUAUGCUUCCCAAAUGUAGCAAGAAAUGUUUGUUUUUAGCUGGCGAUUCUUUUACCAUUCCAAAUCCCUUUCUAUUACCAGUAGCUAAUACAUUUUCACAUCUACAGCUGGAUAAUCUAACUUUCACACCAGUGAGUGGCCUGAAGGCACAUGGGGCCAUCACCUUGCUGAAUCUAAGCAGGUCUGAGUCUGGUUAACUGCCUGGAUGGGAUAUCACUUUGGAGACAUGUGUACACUAACCUGAGUUCUAUGAUGGGGGAGAAGGCAGGAUAGAUAUGAGAAUAAAUAUACACAGAAGGUCCCCCCCCCCCGUUAUGAACAGGAAGACCCUUUUUUGUGGACCCAAAUCUGCUCUAGAGGGUCCUGUGCAUGGACACCAUUGGAUACAACCCUGUAUUUUUUUACUUGCUUUUAAAAUUUCAUUUGUAAAGACAACUGAUGGAAUCUACCUAUAGUAUGUCAUCUGUUUUGUUUAAGUUGAUAUGCCCAUGGGUACCAUAUACAAGUGAUUAUUUUGUGUAGGAUAGAAUCAAGGACUAUGAAUCAGGAAAUCCCUUUUUUAUUUUUUAUUUUAAAUGAUAUUUAUUAAAAUUUCCGAUUAAAAAAAAGAACACAUCAGUAGAAAAGAAUUAAAAGUAAAAAGAAAAAUACACAAUACAGAAAUACACAAUACAAAAUACAAAAAAGAAAGAAAGAAAGAAAAAACAGUUAAAAACAAUACCACCUUUUCAUCACCACUUUUGAAUUUACUUAUUUUCUGGACCUCCUCAUACCUCCCUCUUUUGUAUUCCAGUUCAAUUUGUUUGUCCAGCAAUUUCUUUCCCUCUUUUUUAAUCCCAAUCCUUAAUCUUAAUAUGGUAUAACAUUAAAUUCUUAUCUAUUAAUAGCCAGUUUUCCGUUCUUUUAACCUUUUAUGCCUAAUCCUUAAUCUUAGUCUAUAUAUAACUUUAACGCCUGUGCAGCUAGAAACCACUUAAUUUCAAUCCAUCAUCACUCUAACAUUCUUUAAUUUUGCAAUGUUUCUGUAGAUAAUCUUUAAAUUUCUUCCAAUCUUCUUCCACCGACUCUUCUCCCUGGUCACGGAUUCUACCAGUCAUUUCCGCCAGUUCCAUAUAGUCCAUCAGUUUCAUCUGCCAUUCCUCCAGUGUGGGAAGCUCUUGUGUCUUCCAAUACUUUGCGAUGAGUAUUCUUGCUGCUGUUGUUGCGUACAUAAAGAAAGUUCUAUCCUUUUUUAACACCGAUUGGCCGACUAUGCCCAGGAGAAAGGCCUCUGGUUUCUUGGGGAAGGUAUAUUUAAAUACCUUUUUUAAUUCAUUAUAUAUCAUUUCCCAGAAAGCCUUAAUCUUUGGGCACGUCCACCAAAGGUGAAAAAAUGUACCUUCAGUUUCUUUACAUUUCCAACAUUUAUUAUCGGGCAAAGGAAAUCCCUUUUUUAAAUCCUGCCUUUCAAGCUUUUUGUCACAGUGCCAUUCAACUGUCUCCCUCCACAUACAGGAAGCAGGGUAAUGGAUUUGGACAGAUAAUGGAAUUUGAUGGCAUAGCCAUCAGAGAAUAGUACCCCAUCCAGUUUGUAAGGUGUGGCCACUCUCAUGAAUUCGCAGGAACGUGGGGGGAGGAAAUCUGAUGGCCUGGACACUAGAAAAUAUUGCCCUGGUACUGAACUAUAACAAGAGAUAGAAUAAUGAUGUUCACAGAGCAUUUGAAAACAUUGCCAUUAAAGGAACCUGAAGGGGUAGGAUAAAAUGAUGUUUUCAGCUGCAUAUGCUAGUUACCAGCUGCGUGCUUGUGGAAAUUCACAAAUAAUUCAAGAAACAAUCUCUCACACAGUCCAGGUGGAGUAGGUAAGGCUUCUGGAGAUCAAUAAGACUGCAGAUGAGAACAUGUUCAUUAUUGCAUAUUUAUGGUAAAAAAGACCCAUUAGAAUGGGAUCUUCAUCAAGCAUCUCUUUCUAAAAAAGAAAACAACUCCUAAUGGCUUAAGAGAUCCCAUCACUGUUACCUUUCAUUCCCUUCAAAUGUAAGGAGUGGGUGAAACUAUUGGCCAAAUUUAUUCCCAUGAAGACCUAGGUGCAUGUGAAAAAAGAAGGGUGUGUAUUGUUUUUCCUUGGUACCCCCCUCUUCAGAGAUGUUGGAAUUGGAGCCAUCACAGAGCCAGCAUGACAGAACUUGCAUUUAUCCUCAGUCUUUCUGACAGACACACUAGUUCUAUCCAUGUAGUGAACUUCGUUAUAAAGGAUUAUGUAGGCCUGGGUACUAGAUACACAAUCUGGGUUUGCCAAUCUCUUUUUGGCUCAUGGGCAUUUUUGUAAAGAGAAGAAACUCGUGGACCUCUUUCUCUUUCUUUCUCUCUCUUUCUCUUUCUCUCUCUCUCUCUCCCACACCCACCCACACCUAUUCUAUUGGCUACAAUAGAAUGAAACCUAUAGCAAUCAAUGGGACGGGAUAGCCAUUUUGCGCGUGUGUGUGUGUGCUCACUUGCUCUUUUGGAUAUAUUCAAUAUUCAACUGCAAAAAAGCAGUGGAAUCAAUCAACACAAAGUUAGGCAUGUGCAGACCUAUUUAUUUCAAUAGAUUUAGUCAUUCUGAACUCUCUGCUGCAUUGCGGUCAGUGUACUUGAAGAGCCUUUUUUGUGGUUGCCAUUUUUAUACCACAGAAUAAUUGCAUGUCACCAGGAGUUGUCACAUUCCCUUUCCUGGUGCCCACAGAGCCCUUCCUAGCACUGAAACUAAACUUGAAAGAAACAUCUCUCACAUUGAAAUCAAUGGGACUUAAAAAGCAUUUCCCUUGUUCUAGAUCACACUAUGCUUGAACCAGACAUUGCAGAGCAAAUUUACUUAUAAUAGUCAUAAACUGAGUGAACUUCGCUG
Molecule: non-coding RNA, 3465 nt
Organism: Podarcis lilfordi (Lilford's wall lizard)
Lineage: Eukaryota; Metazoa; Chordata; Lepidosauria; Squamata; Lacertidae
Source: the annotation of a GenBank genome assembly